AAUGAUGUGCCUGAAAAAGGAUUAUUUUGAUAGAAUAAAUUAUACAAACUUUGUCUUCAUUA
RNAcentral lists this transfer RNA (62 nucleotides) under Lampyris noctiluca. RNAcentral's name for it is "tRNA-Ile". Lineage: Eukaryota; Metazoa; Arthropoda; Insecta; Coleoptera; Lampyridae. The record is from RNAcentral.